AAAAACCUCGUAGUCUUACAAAAUCUGAAAUACGAGGAUUUCAAAAAAUUUUCUUGCUUUAAGCCUCGAGAUGUAUUUCUCACCUAGAAGUAAUAUGUCCUGUCUUUGCUUGAAUGCUCGGUCAUGGAAUAAUAAAAGAGGACUUUGGCUCUACUUAUCGGUUCAGGAGCUGAAAUAAUGGUUAAGAGGGACGGUUCGGAGGCAUUCGUAUCCCUGUGCGGGAGGUGAAAUUUGCGAACCGCAGGGGGACGGCAAGCGGAAGCAUUUGCCAAGAAUGUUUUCAUUGAUUAAUAACGAAAGUCAGAAGUUCAAAGACGAUUGGAUACCGCUGUAGAUCUGACCAUAAACUAUGCCAUCUAGCGAUCCGAUGUGGUGUUGUUGCGUGAACAAGGAGCAUCCUGGCAACGAAAGUGUUUCGGUU
This 421-nucleotide non-coding RNA is filed under the name Ancylostoma ceylanicum. RNAcentral describes it as "Eukaryotic small subunit ribosomal RNA". It matches the Rfam family "Eukaryotic small subunit ribosomal RNA", at positions 673 to 1113 of the family's 1831-position model. Lineage: Eukaryota; Metazoa; Nematoda; Chromadorea; Rhabditida; Ancylostomatidae. The record is from Rfam by way of RNAcentral.